GAGUUUGAUCCUGGCUCAGAUUGAACGCUGGCGGCAGGCCUAACACAUGCAAGUCGAGCGGCAGCACGGGUACUUGUACCUGGUGGCGAGCGGCGGACGGGUGAGUAAUGCCUAGGAAUCUGCCUGGUAGUGGGGGAUAACGCUCGGAAACGGACGCUAAUACCGCAUACGUCCUACGGGAGAAAGCAGGGGACCUUCGGGCCUUGCGCUAUCAGAUGAGCCUAGGUCGGAUUAGCUAGUUGGUGAGGUAAUGGCUCACCAAGGCGACGAUCCGUAACUGGUCUGAGAGGAUGAUCAGUCACACUGGAACUGAGACACGGUCCAGACUCCUACGGGAGGCAGCAGUGGGGAAUAUUGGACAAUGGGCGAAAGCCUGAUCCAGCCAUGCCGCGUGUGUGAAGAAGGUCUUCGGAUUGUAAAGCACUUUAAGUUGGGAGGAAGGGCAGUUACCUAAUACGUAAUUGUUUUGACGUUACCGACAGAAUAAGCACCGGCUAACUCUGUGCCAGCAGCCGCGGUAAUACAGAGGGUGCAAGCGUUAAUCGGAAUUACUGGGCGUAAAGCGCGCGUAGGUGGUUCGUUAAGUUGGAUGUGAAAUCCCCGGGCUCAACCUGGGAACUGCAUCCAAAACUACUGAGCUAGAGUACGGUAGAGGGUAGUGGAAUUUCCUGUGUAGCGGUGAAAUGCGUAGAUAUAGGAAGGAACACCAGUGGCGAAGGCGACUACCUGGACUGAUACUGACACUGAGGUGCGAAAGCG
RNAcentral lists this ribosomal RNA (759 nucleotides) under uncultured bacterium. RNAcentral's name for it is "bacterial SSU rRNA". It matches the Rfam family "Bacterial small subunit ribosomal RNA", at positions 9 to 761 of the family's 1533-position model. The record is from RNAcentral.